GAAAUGCGAUAAGUAAUGUGAAUAGCAGAAUUCAGUGAAUCAUCGAAUCUUUGAACGCACAUUGCGCCCGCCAGUAUUCUGGCGGGCAUGCCUGUCCGAGCGUCAUUUCAACCAUCAAGCCCCCGGGCUUGUGUUGGGGACCUGCGGCUGCCCGCAGGCCCUGAAAACCAGUGGCGGGCUCGCUGUCACACCGAGCGUAGUAGCAAUCACCUCGCUCAGGGCGUGCUGCGGGUUCCGGCCGUUAAACAGCCUUACAAAACCCAAGGUUGACCUCGGAUCAGGUAGGAAGACCCGCUGAAAUUAAGC
RNAcentral lists this unclassified non-coding RNA (306 nucleotides) under plant metagenome. RNAcentral's name for it is "partial contains 5.8S ribosomal RNA, internal transcribed spacer 2, and large subunit ribosomal RNA". The stretch from base 1 to 105 matches the Rfam family "5.8S ribosomal RNA", at positions 50 to 154 of the family's 154-position model. The record is from RNAcentral.